RNAcentral lists this ribosomal RNA (1236 nucleotides) under Triticum aestivum (bread wheat). Its description in RNAcentral is "partial small subunit ribosomal RNA". Lineage: Eukaryota; Viridiplantae; Streptophyta; Magnoliopsida; Poales; Poaceae. The record is from RNAcentral.
AUGAUGAACCCGGAGAUGAUGCGGCUGGCGGAGGAGCAGGUGCGGCGCAUGUCCCCGGACGACCUGGCCAGGAUGCAGCGGCAGCUCGCGUCCAACCCCGACCUGGUGAAGCUAGCAUCCGAGAGCAUGAUAAACAUGACGGCGCACGACUUCAAAAUAGCAUCUCAGCAGCUGAACAAAACUAGUCCAGAGGAGAUGCUUUGCAUGGCCGAAAAGAUCGCCACCGCUAAGCCCGAGGAGUUCGCCGCCAUGAAGGCCCAAGCUGACGCUCACAUCUCACACGCCAUAUCCGGUGCCAAGGCCCUGAAGCAGCAGGGGAACGAGCUUCACAGCCGUGGGCGGUACGCCGAGGCUGCUGCCAAGUACGACCUCGCCAAGGAUAGCUUGCAGAACGUGCCGUCGGCAGCUGCGCACACAUUAAGGGUGCAGUGCAGCCUUAAUCGCAUGUCCUGUUACCUGAAAUCGGGCAGGUUCGAGGAUUGCGUUCGCAUCGUCAAGGCGUACUACCGGAGGGGCCAAGCGUACAGGGGACUGGGGAACCUACAGGCUGCCGUCGCUGACUUGAGUAAAGCUCAUGAAAUCUCUCCCGAGGAUGAAACCAUUGCUGAGGUACUGAGAGAAACACAGGGAAAACUUGCAGCUGAAGGAAAUAUGCCAAAAGGAUUUGUUAUUGAAGAGGUUGUAGAAGAACUUCCAAAAGGAGUUGUUAUUCAAGAGAUUGUAGAAGAACUUCCAACCUUCCAGCCUCCGUCUUUGCAAAAUGUUGCAGAGAACCAUGAUGAAAUUGUAGUAAACAACCAGUCGCCAUCUAGUUCCCCACCUUCUAUAGCUGAUAUGCAAGAAGCCGUGAGAAAAUCCAUGGAAGACCCAGCUAUGCGGCAGAUGUUUGUGUCCAUGAUGGAGAACAUGAGUCCUGAUGUGAUGGCAGACCUGAGUCAGAAGUUCGGCAUGAAGGUCUCCAAGGAGGAUGCGGCCAAAGCGCAACAAGCUAUGUCUUCAUUAUCUCCAGAAGGUCUAGAAAGAAUGAUGCGAUGGAUGGGCAGAGCACAGCGAGGAGUAGAAGUAGCAACCAAGACAAAGAACUGGCUCCUAGCCAGGAAGGGCUUGAUCAUUGCCAUUGUCAUGCUGAUCUUGGCCUUGAUCCUCCUGCGUCUUGGAUUCAGUGUCAAAUCCAUGUUAUGGGUGUGUAGUCAAUUAACUACAUGGCUUUUCGCCAGAACCAAUAAAUACAAGUGA